Long non-coding RNA from Glycine soja, 824 nucleotides. RefSeq lists it as uncharacterized. The transcript is spliced from 3 exons. The record is from RefSeq and is a predicted model, not a curated record. Lineage: Eukaryota; Viridiplantae; Streptophyta; Magnoliopsida; Fabales; Fabaceae.
AUGCAACACAAAAAACCACACUUUCAAUUGCAUUUCUCUCUCUUUCUCACGAUUUCCACUUUCCUAUAAUAUUUUUCUCUCAUUUUCUCGGGAAAAUCGCGGGAUCUAUGUUCUGUGUGACACGAUUCCACGAUUUCCACUAAUUUUUCAGUUUGAAAUUGUGAAUUUUUGUUCUUUGUUUUUGUUUUGUUAGGGUUUUCGAUUCGAGAUUCGUUUUUCUAAUGAGCGAUCACUUGGUGGUGUUCGUUGACCGUCUCGCGUGCCCUGUCCCCAUUGAUCCGGUGGCGAAGACGGCCUAGGUGCCUUCCAAACCAUCUCCACCUUCGGCCGUCGUGGAUGCCGACGUCGCCGGGAGCUCCGACACCUCACCAUUGCAGGAUUACGACGGCGAGGGCGAUGACGAGAUUGUGCUAUGGGUGACAAUUUCGUUCCUGUUGAAGAAAGAAUCAAUUACGUUGGUGGUGACAGUGUUCUUAAUUAUGUUCCUCUUUCAAUACCUUCCCAAAAUGUAUCACUCUGUUUGCCUCUUACGUCGCAUGCAAGACCUCUCUGACUACAUUUUUGGAACCGUUUGGUGGGGUAUCACACUUAACCUGAUCGCAUAUUUUGUUGCUUCCCAUUAUUUUACCGAUGCUAGACCAUUGGAACCAGAGAGAUUGAAGGCGCUUCGCAUUCAGUGGGCAAAGUACUAUAUGAAACUUAAACAUGAAACUUAAGAUGUUUAGGCAAUUUUGAAAUUGUAGUUUAUAUUUACUUUACAUUUUUUACAAUUCAUGUCUCAACAUUAAAUAUGCUUUUAAUUCAUAGUAAUUAGUAAUUUCUCA